GACGAACGCUGGCGGCGUGCUUAACACAUGCAAGUCGAACGGAAAGGCCCUGCUUUUGUGGGGUGCUCGAGUGGCGAACGGGUGAGUAACACGUGAGUAACCUGCCCUUGACUUUGGGAUAACUUCAGGAAACUGGGGCUAAUACCGGAUAGGAGCUCCUGCUGCAUGGUGGGGGUUGGAGAGUUUCGGCGGUUGGGGAUGGACUCGCGGCUUAUCAGCUUGUUGGUGGGGUAGUGGCUUACCAAGGCUUUGACGGGUAGCCGGCCUGAGAGGGUGACCGGACACAUUGGGACUGAGAUAGGGCCCAGACUCAUACGGGAGGGAGGAGUGGGGAAUAUUGCACAAUGGGCGGAAGUCUGAUGGAGCAACGCCGCGUGCGGGAUGACGGCCUUCGGGUUGUAAACCGCUUUCGCCUGUGACGAAGCGUGAGUGACGGUAAUGGGUAAAGAAGCACCGGCUAACUACGUG
RNAcentral lists this ribosomal RNA (468 nucleotides) under uncultured bacterium. RNAcentral's name for it is "partial 16S ribosomal RNA". It matches the Rfam family "Bacterial small subunit ribosomal RNA", at positions 28 to 507 of the family's 1533-position model. The record is from RNAcentral.